GUGCUCACUUCAGCAGCACAUAUACUAAAAUUGGAAUGAUGCAGAGAUUAACAUGGCCCCUGUGAAAGGAUGACACGCAAAUUCGUGAAGCAUUCCAUAUUAAA
Molecule: small nuclear RNA, 104 nt
Organism: Suncus etruscus (white-toothed pygmy shrew)
Lineage: Eukaryota; Metazoa; Chordata; Mammalia; Eulipotyphla; Soricidae
Source: RefSeq, a predicted model, not a curated record